Long non-coding RNA from Papaver somniferum (opium poppy), 3087 nucleotides. RefSeq lists it as uncharacterized. Lineage: Eukaryota; Viridiplantae; Streptophyta; Magnoliopsida; Ranunculales; Papaveraceae. The transcript has 5 exons. The record is from RefSeq and is a predicted model, not a curated record.
UCCAGCGUUUUCAGGCCUAGUACUAAGUGGUCCAAAUUUACUUAAUCUAGGAUGAGUCAGUCCUAAUGUAAACGAUUCAAUCCAAAAAGAAUAAUUAUGGUGACAGAAAUGACCCUCAUCUAAAAACUGCAGGUCACAAUGCUGAUUUAUUUGUAAAUCAUUUCUUCAUCGUCUCUAUCGGUAGAUCUCUCCAGCGAAACUGUGUUCAUCUUUUUUCAGCUCAAUUAACCAUACAAAUUUCUUUGCUUGCUCUCUCGAUUUCUUUUUCUUCUAGGUCUAAUCCCAUCCCUGAAACCGUAGAAGCUAAGAGAGAUGCAUGGCACCAGAUCGGUGAAAAGAUUUAUGGACAUGUCAGAUUUGGAGGAGGAGAUUUAGAACUUGUAUAUGUGAGAAUCAAUGUUCUCUGAAAACUAUGAUUUCUCUUCAAAAUCCUCUCUCGGCUCACAAUUAAUGUUUCAAUCUGUCAUCCGCUGAUGAUUCGUAUCAUUCCGAGUUAAAGAAGAACCUGUACAAUCAAUAGGAUUCAAGUUUAUUUGCUUGUCUUGGGAGAAACGUUAAGUUUUGUAGGAACGAUCUUGAAGUUUGUAAGUAUUUUACUUGUCUUUUUGUUUGAUUGACAUACGUUGAAUUGGAAAUUGGAAAAUGGAUCUAUUUGUUGUUUUGAUUUUGUUGGAUUUGGGAUUCUGGUGAAUUUGUUUAUAUUGGAAUGGAGAUUUAUUUACAUAAUAUUUAUUAAGAAUUAUGUCACAAAUAUUUGUUAAGUUUUGUAGUAUAUAUAAUCUUGUGGUCUAACCCUCCUGUGUUGCAAAUAGAACAGUAGAUUCAUACUUGUUUUAUGUCUAUAUCAUUGUUAGAAAUUAUAAAGUCUUAAUUGAUGUGUAUAGUAUUUGUAUCAAUUUCUGCAAACAAACUUCAAUGUUGAAAAUUGAACAGUAGAUUCAUAGUUUUUCUAUAUUUGUGUCAUUGUUUAGAAGUUAUAAAGUCUUUAAGUUGUGGAAUUGGAUCAAAUUCUGCAAUCAAUGCUCGAUUUGGUUACUUCUUCUUGAUUUUCAAAUCUAAUAAACUAGUACUCAUAUUGUCUAGUUUCAGGUCUAGAACCCCAUUGCGGAUGGUUGUCCAUGUGGUUAAGGGGAUUAAGAAGAGGUGAAGGAAAGUAAGUAGGAAUUCGGGUCAGAUUAGUCAGUCUGCUAAUUACUAAGUAAUUAUAAUGUAGAAAGGAUAUUUUUAACAUUUUGUUCUUCACAAUAUAUGCAAUAAAGAGGAGUAGUUGAAAGAGAAUUAUGACAUGAAUUGUGAAAGUUAUGAUGUAUGUGUAGAGGACUAGGAGGAUGAGUAAGUAGUAUUAUGUUAAAUCUUUUCACUGGUUUUUGGGGUUCUGUUGUUGGACAUCGGUUGCAGGCUUACUAGUUAGCUUAACAUUGAAUUAGUAGUCUUAUUUAAGUAUAUUUGUUUUGUCUGUGAAAAUGUGUCUUUAUUUCUUCAUUGAAGAAGAGUAGUGCAUUUACUAACCUGAUGGUGAAGUGCACUCUACCUGCUAUAUUGAAUGAUAUGGGUAUGAAAUUGGUCGUUGGGUAGUUCAGAUUUAAGUGGAGUAGAUAGAGAGGCAUAAAGAUCAUGGGGAACUGGGGAUGACUUUCAACCAUAUAGAUAGCCUCUUUGUUAUGCCUACUGCAGUCAUACUGUAGUUAAUUUGUAAGAGUAUCAGUUGUGCUUUAUUUUCUUGUUGUAUCCAUGAAUUCUGAAAGCACACUUGGACUGGCCAUGCAGCCAGCUAGACCUCUGUGCUUGGUAUCCAUGAAUUCUGAAACCACCACCCACCCAAACAAUAUAAACUGCUCUUGACACAGGGAUGUAAUUGGCAAGUUCAAAAAUUUUGUUGGGAACUGAUUUAAUUUGAUUGAUAGGCGACAACGUGUCACCUUUUCAGAAAUGGUAAUGGAUUUCCAUAUACCUUGUCCCCUAUAUUGAAAUUUCUGAGAUAUUGCUAUGACUUUGUUGUUGCGCUUUGUAUUUACAAGGAUUUUGCAUACCCGUCUUUAUCUUCUCAGCAGAAAGGCAGAUCCUCACAAGUUGUAUGCUGGGAACUCAAAAGAAUAUCGGUUGCCAGGGCUAAGCAAGCUAAUGAAUUGAGAUGAAUAUCCAAAAUGGUAUCUCCAGGAGCUGCCAUCUGAACCUAACCUCGAUGAAGUUGCUCCAGGUCUGCUUUCGGGAGAGACAUGCAGUCCAGAGGUAGUAGUGAAAGACCCAGUAGUUGUUAAGAAGGAGGAGCAGCAAGCCGGUAUUUGGAGGCACUGUACUUAUUUCUUGUUCUGCAUGCGUGUAUAUAUCAUGGUCACUAUUUAUUAAUUCUGGUGUUAUGAUAGGGAACUAAAAAGAUUCAAAUGAACGGAAAUGACCUUUACCUACAUAUUGCUCAUAGUAAACUAGUGCUGGGUAUUCGGGUGGUUAGUGGGAUCCCACUAUAGUCAGCAACAGAAGUUCUUAUAAUAAUCACAUUAGACGUGAAAGAUAGGGAUGGGGAUUCGAGGAAUGUAAAAAUGAGAACAAGCGGUCACAUGAAGAUGAAGAGGGUAAGAUGAUUCGCUCAGUAGAGGAAACAACACACAAUGAUGAAACGAAAAAGAUACAUCACCGUAUAUUUGAAGGAGACUUGAUGAAGGAUUACAAGAAGUUUGAUUUGAUAAUCGAAGUCAAUCCUAAGGCGAAUGGAAAUGGAAGCGUUGUGACACGGUCAAUUGCGUAUGAGAAAAUCAACGAGGAUUCUCCAACUCCGUUUGCUUAUAUACUUUUCUGCCAUCAGGCCGUUGAAGACAUGAAUAAGUACUUAUGGGGUCUGAAUAACUGACCGAUGUCAUUUAUACAUGAACCCGUUCGGGGUUGGUGUACGCGGAUCUAUGCACGUACGUAUUAAUCAGUUGUGGCUUUGUGUGUAUUAUUGUUAUAGUAUAUGGUGAUACUAGUCUCAGUGACUGAAUACUAUGUCAGUCUAUGAGCGUGGUUUGAUUUGUCACGUCGAUAUAUAAUAUCCAAAAAAAUCAUGUAUGUUUUCUAUUAAAAUAAAUAAAGAUCACAUAACUCGUUUCAUAU